This 624-nucleotide ribosomal RNA is filed under the name uncultured bacterium. RNAcentral's name for it is "bacterial SSU rRNA". It matches the Rfam family "Bacterial small subunit ribosomal RNA", at positions 338 to 1533 of the family's 1533-position model. The record is from RNAcentral.
CCUACGGGAGGCAGCAGUGGGGAAUUUUGGACAAUGGGCGCAAGCCUGAUCCAGCCAUGCCGCGUGCGGGAAGAAGGCCUUCGGGUUGUAAACCGCUUUUGUCAGGGAAGAAAAGGUUCUGGUUAAUACCUGGGACUCAUGACGGUACCUGAAGAAUAAGCACCGGCUAACUACGUGCCAGCAGCCGCGGUAAUACGUAGGGUGCAAGCGUUAAUCGGAAUUACUGGGCGUAAAGCGUGCGCAGGCGGUUAUGCAAGACAGAGGUGAAAUCCCCGGGCUCAACCUGGGAACUGCCUUUGUGACUGCAUAGCUAGAGUGCGGCAGAGGGGGAUGGAAUUCCGCGUGUAGCAGUGAAAUGCGUAGAUAUGCGGAGGAACACCGAUGGCGAAGGCAAUCCCCUGGGCCUGCACUGACGCUCAUGCACGAAAGCGUGGGGAGCAAACAGGAUUAGAUACCCUGGUAGUCCACGCCCUAAACGAUGUCAACUGGUUGUUGGGAGGGUUUCUUCUCAGUAACGUAGCUAACGCGUGAAGUUGACCGCCUGGGGAGUCGGCCGCAAGGUUGAAACUCGAAAGAGAGUAGACGCGUGAGACGUAGACGACGGACGACGACGAGGGGAGGAGG